Molecule: small RNA, 120 nt
Filed under: Pan troglodytes (chimpanzee)
Lineage: Eukaryota; Metazoa; Chordata; Mammalia; Primates; Hominidae
Description: processed transcript
Source: RNAcentral
GAACUCCAGGCUUGUCUUGGCUCCAAAUGGAUCCCAACUGCUCCUGCACCACAGGUGGCUCCUGUGCCUGCGCCGGCUCCUGCAAGUGCAAAGAGUGCAAAUGUACCUCCUGCAAGAAGA